CGGACGGGUGAGUAACACGUGGAUAACCUACCUAUAAGACUUGGAUAACUUCGGGAAACCGGAGCUAAUACCGGAUAAUAUAUUGAACCGCAUGGUUCAAUAGUGAAAGACGGUUUUGCUGUCACUUAUAGAUGGAUCCGCGCCGCAUUAGCUAGUUGGUAAGGUAACGGCUUACCAAGGCAACGAUGCGUAGCCGACCUGAGAGGGUGAUCGGCCACACUGGAACUGAGACACGGUCCAGACUCCUACGGGAGGCAGCAGCC
This 263-nucleotide ribosomal RNA is filed under the name uncultured Staphylococcus sp. Its description in RNAcentral is "partial 16S ribosomal RNA". It matches the Rfam family "Bacterial small subunit ribosomal RNA", at positions 99 to 355 of the family's 1533-position model. Lineage: Bacteria; Bacillati; Bacillota; Bacilli; Caryophanales; Staphylococcaceae. The record is from RNAcentral.